RNAcentral lists this long non-coding RNA (278 nucleotides) under Elaeis guineensis (African oil palm). Its description in RNAcentral is "long non-coding RNA (EGUI_LNC002977)". Lineage: Eukaryota; Viridiplantae; Streptophyta; Magnoliopsida; Arecales; Arecaceae. The record is from RNAcentral.
AGGCACCUCCUCCAACAGCGUCGCAGUCUACUCAGGUUGCCUCUGCACCUCCUUCAGUGGUGCAACUGGUGGCCUUCUCGGUGGCACCAUCGGUGCCUCCCGCAGUGGUGUCCCCACUGAAUCUGAUUCCACACUCGGCUCGUCAGCCGCCAUCACAGCCAGAGCUGCGUAUGCCUUCUCAAAGCUUGGAGAGAAGACACACUCAUCUAAGCCGUUCUAGGGCCUAGUAGCUGGCCAGAUAGAUAUCUCCUGGUUUGAGAUCAAGGUAUGAUUCAACC